AUUUUAUAACAGACUGACUUUUUCUCUGAAACUUGAACUUAUUGUAUAUAUAUAUUCUCAAACACCCUUUUGGUAGAUAGAAGGAUACAAGAUGGGUUUAUCAGUCAUUUGUCAGAAGAACCUGUGUUACAAUAGAAGCAGAAGCAGAAGAUUACAUUUAAACAAAAAUAUGGAAAAAAAGGAAAUAUAGUCUUCAAAAUUGUGACCAUUACCAUAGAUACAUAGAUUGAAAAUAAAAUCAAUCUGCAGUGGCCAGAAGUACAUGCACAAUUUUUGUUUUAUUAUAGCUGCUUUAAGAUACAAUUGUAGAUCUCAGGGAGUCUGGUGAUUGGAACCUCCUCUUUUUAUGGAAGAUUAAUGCAUUUGAAUGGGAUCAUGCAUAUAGUUGGAACCCUCCUUUUUAUCCUUGGUUGAGAAUACCACCACUUAUGUUUAAAAUUUUCUGGAUUCACCCUGAGAUAAGAAACUACAUAAGUUGUACAAGUUCUGUUGCUUGCCUUAAUCAAGAGAAAAAAAUCUGAACAUUCAAAGAACCAGAAAGGGAUUUAAAACAUAAUAAUCAACACAAAGAUAACUGAACAAAAGCUGUAUUGCAAUCUGAUAUAUCCUGCAGUUAUCAUAAAUCCUAUUAUAUGUAAUAUUUCAAGUUUUGCUUUAUAUUUCUUCUUCUUUCUUAUAUUUGAAUUCAAAAGUCCUGCAACCAACUGUCCUUUCAAUUAAAUUAUUGAUUGGAUAAUAACCUAAGCUGACCAGUAUAAAAUAAAAUUUGAAAAUGCUUUGUUGAAAUAAAAUAGUGGUAUUAUGUCAUUAGAUAUACUGAAUCAACUUCAAAUUUAAUCCAAAUUCACAUUUACCUGCUCUAAAAUGCAUAGUCAAUUGGACUACAAAAACCUGAGACUACUUCAAUGUAUAACAUAGAGAUUGUGGUCACCUCCCAUGUUAUAGUAGUCUCAGACAAAAACAAAACUGACUUAAAAACAGUAUGUUCAGAAUUUUUUUGAAAAAGGACAACAAAAAAGAAAUUUAUUAUUCUGAUAUCAGAAAUAAAUUCAAAGCGGAAU
This 1061-nucleotide long non-coding RNA is filed under the name Mytilus galloprovincialis (Mediterranean mussel). Lineage: Eukaryota; Metazoa; Mollusca; Bivalvia; Mytilida; Mytilidae. The record is from RNAcentral.